Molecule: ribosomal RNA, 506 nt
Filed under: uncultured bacterium
Lineage: Bacteria
Description: partial 16S ribosomal RNA
Rfam family: Bacterial small subunit ribosomal RNA
Source: RNAcentral
GAUGAACGCUAGCUACAGGCUUAACACAUGCAAGUCGAGGGGUAACGAGAGGAAAGCUUGCUUUCCUUGUCGACGACCGGCGCACGGGUGAGUAACGCGUAUCCAACCUGCCCCCAACUAGGGAAUAACCUUGCGAAAGUAAGACUAAUACCCUAUAAUUUCCUCAGAUGACAUCUGACGAGGAAUAAAGAUUUAUCGGUUGUGGAUGGGGAUGCGUCUGAUUAGCUUGUUGGCGGGGUAACGGCCCACCAAGGCAACGAUCAGUAGGGGUUCUGAGAGGAAGGCCCCCCACAUUGGGACUGAGACACGGUUCAACCUCUGACGGGGGGCAGCAUUGAGGAAUAUUGGUCAAUGGGCGGAAGCCUGAACCAGCCAAGUAGCGUGCAGGAUGACGGCCCUAUGGGUUGUAAACUGCUUUUCUACAGGAAUAAAGUUAGCCACGUGUGGUUAUUUGUAGGUACUGUAUGAAUAAGGACCGGCUAAUUCCGUGCCAGCCGCCGCCGUAA